Molecule: non-coding RNA, 834 nt
Organism: Cinara cedri
Lineage: Eukaryota; Metazoa; Arthropoda; Insecta; Hemiptera; Aphididae
Source: the annotation of a GenBank genome assembly
CACACUUUCCAUAGGCUAUCCAUGACGAUAAAUAUAAUGUCAUAAAAACACAAUAAUAUAAAUACAAUCGUAUAAAAGCGAACAAACGCUGUGUUUGAAAUUCGACGCACGUGCGCCGCGGAAUGUUUUUGUUGCAACACAUACGGCGCUCGCAACGAAUAAAUAAUAAUAAAGGGAAACAAAUCAAAAUCGUAUUUUAUCGGGACGGUUGAUACGUUUGUUACGACAAAAGGUAAUUUUUUUUGCUUUGAGAUACGAUACACUUGUUUUUUUUUUCUUGUUUAUACACAGACAUCCGCGAUGUCUUUAAACUUUUUUUUAGACAAAACACGUCGAAACUUGGAUAACCUAAUAGCUUACAAAAAAAAAAAAUAAAAUAAAACUACAUGAAAUAUAAAUAUUAACGAUUUCGAUCAUACAUACAUACCUAAUCAGUAAUUUCACACUAGCGAGUAAACAAAAACCACGCAGACCGCGGCGGAAUCCUAAUAAUAAUGAAAUAAUAAUAAACUCAAAAUGCGAAAUGUCGGCUUUUACUCGGGCAAUGGGAAUCGAAAAACUGUUGUUUGUUUUUUUCCAUUUCAUCGUAAACCUCGCUAAAAUAGUAUUUUAAAUCGAAUUAUAUUUUCCUUUUCUAAUUUAUCGGUUUAACGAAAUAUAUAAACGAUCGGACGAACCCCCUCGAGCCCGCAGUCGUCAACGUUGUGUAAAAAUAUUAUAUUGCGUAUCCGAUAGGACCGGAGAUUACGGGUUUUUUUUUUUUUUUUUUUAUUUCAGGAAGGGGUCGUGCGCCGUUUACGUAAUAUGAUAUCGUAAGAUUUAUGUAGCAAAAAU